AAGUCGUAACAAGGUUUCCGUAGGUGAACCUGCGGAAGGAUCAUUAACAUAACUUUUUGUUAAUCAACCGUGUUCUGUUUUUGUAAUUCUGGCAACUCUAGUCGCAAGACUGGUUGUCAGUGUUUUUAACAUACAACUAUUAACUGAAACUACACUCGUAGAGUGAUUAAUUGAUACAACUGUUAACAACGGAUCACUCGGUUCUCA
This 207-nucleotide unclassified non-coding RNA is filed under the name fungal sp. RNAcentral describes it as "partial internal transcribed spacer region". The stretch from base 1 to 46 matches the Rfam family "Eukaryotic small subunit ribosomal RNA", at positions 1786 to 1831 of the family's 1831-position model. The record is from RNAcentral. Lineage: Eukaryota; Fungi.